UCUCGGCUUAUCACCGGCAGUCCCCCUAGAGUGCCCAACUGAAUGAUGGCAACUAGGGGCGAGGGUUGCGCUCGUUGCGGGACUUAACCCAACAUCUCACGACACGAGCUGACGACAGCCAUGCAGCACCUGUGUUCCGGCCAGCCGAACUGAAGGAUCCCAUCUCUGGGACCCACACGGGACAUGUCAAGGGUCGGUAAGGUUCUGCGCGUUGCUUCGAAUUGAACCACAUGCUCCACCGCUUGUGCGGGCCCCCGCCAGUUCCUUUGAGUUUUAAUCUUGCGAUCGUAGUUCCCAGGCGGUUCACUUAAUGCGUUAGCUGCGGCACCGAGGCGAAGCCCCGACACCUAGUGAACAUCGUUUAUGGCCAAGACUAC
This 377-nucleotide unclassified non-coding RNA is filed under the name uncultured Alphaproteobacteria bacterium. Its description in RNAcentral is "contains 16S-23S intergenic spacer region". Lineage: Bacteria; Pseudomonadati; Pseudomonadota; Alphaproteobacteria. The record is from RNAcentral.